GAUGAACGCUAGCGGCAGGCUUAAUACAUGCAAGUCGAGGGGCAGCGCAGUGUAGCAAUACAUGGGCGGCGACCGGCAAACGGGUGCGUAACACGUACGCAACCUUCCCGUUACUGUGGGAUAGCCCAGGGAAACUUGGAUUAAUACCACAUAUUGCCAUUGGGAGGCAUCUCUUGAUGGCCAAAGAAUUUCGGUAACGGAUGGGCGUGCGGUUGAUUAGGUAGUUGGCGGGGUUAACGGGCCCCACCAAGCCUACGAUCAAUAGCUGAUGUGAGAGCAUGAUCAGCCACACGGGCACUGAGACACGGGCCCGACUCCUACGGGAGGCAGCAGUAAGGAAUAUUGGGCAAUGGACGAAAGUCUGACCCAGCCAUGCCGCGUGAAGGAUGAAGGUCCUCUGGAUUGUAAACUCUUUUUCUGGGUAGAAAUGCAUCUUUUCUAAGGUGUUUGACGGUUACCAGAAGAAUAAGCACCGGCUAACUCCGUGCCAGCAG
Molecule: ribosomal RNA, 494 nt
Filed under: uncultured bacterium
Lineage: Bacteria
Description: bacterial SSU rRNA
Rfam family: Bacterial small subunit ribosomal RNA
Source: RNAcentral